GACGAACCGAGCGAACGUUGUUCGGAAUCACUGGGCGUAAAGGGUGCGUAGGCGGGUCUUUAAGUCAGGGGUGAAAUCCUGGAGCUCAACUCCAGAACUGCCUUUGAUACUGAAGAUCUUGAGUUCGGGAGAGGUGAGUGGAACUGCGAGUGUAGAGGUGAAAUUCGUAGAUAUUCGCAAGAACACCAGUGGCGAAGGCGGCUCACUGGCCCGAUACUGACGCUGAGGCACGAAAGCGUGGGGAGCAAACAGG
This 253-nucleotide ribosomal RNA is filed under the name uncultured bacterium. RNAcentral's name for it is "partial 16S ribosomal RNA". It matches the Rfam family "Bacterial small subunit ribosomal RNA", at positions 524 to 776 of the family's 1533-position model. The record is from RNAcentral.